Molecule: ribosomal RNA, 253 nt
Filed under: uncultured bacterium
Lineage: Bacteria
Description: partial 16S ribosomal RNA
Rfam family: Bacterial small subunit ribosomal RNA
Source: RNAcentral
UACGGGGGGGGUAAGCGUUGUUCGGAAUUACUGGGCGUAAAGGGCUCGUAGGCGGCCAACUAAGUCAGACGUGAAAUCCCUCAGCUUAACUGGGGAACUGCGUCUGAUACUGGAUGGCUUGGAUUCGGGAGAGGAAUGCGGAAUUCCAGGUGUAGCGGUGAAAUGCGUAGAUAUCAGGAGGAACACCGGUGGCGAAGGCGGCUCUCUGGACCACAACUGACGCUGAGGCGCGAAAGCUAGGGGAGCAAACAGG